UGGGGAUUACCUGCGUGGAUGAAAAUAAAAGGGGUGAGUUUGGGGAAACUGAGUGUGUAAAUUAACCCAACCAUAGCCUAUAUUAGCUCAAACCACAGAAAUAGAAUAAGUUGGCCUUAGCCCAAAACAGAAUUCAGAAUAAAGCCCAUAGGCCCAUAACAGAACAGAACAGAUAUUACAUGUUUAUGCAGAAACCUAACCAGAUUAUCCAUAACACCCCCGUACCAGCCUUACACCAUGUGGGGAGACUACUCGACCCACCCAACCGCUACACACCACAAAAAUCGCAGCGAGGCUACCAGAUAUUGUGACAAAGUCACCAGAUACAGAUAUUGUGGCAGAGCCACCAUAACAGAUAUAUGUGGCAGAGCCACCAGAUCAGAUAAUUGUGGCAUAGCCACCUGGACGCUUCCUCCAUAGUAUAACCCAAGUCCCCAUGCAACAGAUAUAUAAUCAUGGCAUACAUCAUACAGAAUCAGAUCGUCAUGCUUUUCAGUCAAAAGUAACCCUAGGGGUAUAAUGGUAAUUUUGCAUACAUAGGGGUAUUCAAGUAAUUUAACUAUUCUUAAGGUUUUCAUACAUAACAUGGCAUUUACGUACGAUCAGAAACACUUACCCCGUUUUCUUACCAAUUUGGGCCCGUUGGCCCAUUAUCCCGUUUUUGGCCCAUUAAGCCCAAAAACAUUGAAAUGCACAGAAUCGCGCACUCUGCAGUCUUAUCACUUUAAUUUACCAUAUACAUCAAACUAUUAAUCUCAUGAGCAUUCACACACUCGUAAUAUCUCAAAAUACCGGCUUUUCGGCAUCUCGGCUUUUCGGCUUGUGCCGAUCUAGUCUAUAAGAGGGUGUUAGUUACACACCUAUUUGCGACGAUAUGCUGACGAGAUCCACACACGAACUGCCUACAAUUGGAUUACUAACACGUUAAUCUAACUAUUCAAAUACGAACUACGUAUUAACCUCUUACAAUAUUCGGCCAAUCACACCUACAGAUCAGAGUAAGCUUAUAAGAAAUUAAUAAGCAACUCAUUAACAAAUUUUUGUCAGUGUUUACCACAUAAUCAUAAUUUCACUGCAAGCUGUCUUCCUGAGCAACAGUCACUAAAUCAUUUAUAACUGGAGCUACAAAACUCCAAAUUAAGUUCCGUUAAUUUUCCCUAAAAAUAGACUCGUAUAUAUUUUAUCCAUAAAAUUUUCAGAAUUUUUGGUUUAGCCAAUAAAUACCAGAUUUUUCUCAAAGUUUCUCAUGUUUCACUGUUUGACUAAUCUGACCACUCUUCAUUACGAAUCAAAUUUCUCAUUGUACAGAAUUCAAAAUAUGUUCUUGUUUAUUUCAUUAGAAACUAGACUCAAUAAGCUUUAAUUACAUAAUUUAUUCAGCUUCUAAUUCAUCUCCCACAAUUUAUGGUGAUUUUCCAAAGUCACGUUACUGCUGCUGUCCCAAGCAGAUUUAUUACCAAAUCACUCUUUCACACAUACCUUGCAUGCAUGUUAUUUAAACAUGUAUAUCACCAAUCAAUCAUCACAUAUCUAUGAUUUUACUUAAGUACAAUCUCCAUUUCAUCAUUUUAAAGCACAACAUGUUAGCCCAUUUUUUCCUUUAGCAUCUAAGGCACAUGCAUGCUCAUUUGUUUGGCUCAACUUCACCUAUCUUCCAUUUUUCAUCAAAAGAACAUGAAACAACAACCAUUUCUUUCAUUUUAAUUCAUGACUAAAUGCUCACAACACAACUAAAAAAUCAAAAUAUGCUUCAAGAGUUAAGGUAGAAUCAAGAAGAACUCAUGAACCUCAAAAUAGAAGCAAGGUACCAAGAACUUACCUUCAAUUUUUCUCCUCCUAGUGACCGAAUACUCAAGAGCUUUCUCCUCUCCUUUCUCUUCUCUAACUUUCGGCUAUGAUGAACAAAGAUGGACAAAACUUUAUUCUUUUCAUCCUUUUGUUAUUUUAUUACCCAACAUUUUUUGACACAAAAUAACCUAUAUUAUUUGUGCCAUACCUAUGCCAUAAUGUCAAUAAAAAAAUGCCCAUAAUGCUUAUCAUGCCCAUCAUGGAACAUUUACCUAACCCAUUAUCAAUUUUUUAUCAAUUUGUACCAUAAAUUAUGGAUAUCAAGUGCACAUAUUGUCUUCAACAACAUGAUGCCCGGCCACUUCUUGUAAAAUGGAAGGUUUGACAUGCAAAUCCUCCUAUUUUGCACUACUAUUUAUUUGGCCACUACAAAUUAGCCUAUAGCAUUUUCAAAUAUUUUCAUAUAGGUACUAUUUCAUAAUUUCACUCACAAAUGACAAAAUCAAAGCAUGAAAUUUUGCCAACAUUCACAGACUUCCCGAAAAUUGGGGCGUUACAAUGCAUGGUUUUUGAGAAUAAUAGGUUUGAAUGUUAUGUUUGAAAUAUAGUUAGCUUAUACUUUGUUUUGGUUCAUGCUAAGGUUAUACGUGUUUUUUAUGUAUAAAUUACAUAGGUAUAAUGUGUUGGACUUGCAACAGAGUAAUUUGGAAUGACUAGAAUGUUAAAUGACUUGAAUGAGUUUGUUGGAUGAUUAUGUGUUCUAUGUUAUAUUAAAUUCUUGGUUCUAAAUGCUUAUGUGCUUGAAUUUGUCUAAAAGAAUAUAGAAUCAUAUUGUAUUGAUCGUGUGAUGAUAUUAUGGAAGUGUGUAAAUGUUGGUUAGAAAGCAUGAAAGCAUACCAAUGUGCUAUUUGCCAAAACAUGGGCAACAUUGCGACCUCAAAUUCCUGAUGACCGGGUCGGGUAUGAGGUGUUACAACACACUUUGGUACCUUCGCAUUAACACCGUUAAUUUGUGUUGACGUGACACUUACAACCAAUCACAUGAUGACACGUGGUGGCAUCUUAUUAUGACAUGUGGCAAACAUAAAUAAAAGACAAACUAUUUAAAAAAUAUAAAAUAAUAAAAAAGUAUACUUUUUUUAAUAUAAAGAAUGAAUUGGGUUGUCCAAGUUCAUUCAAAUCUAGACAAUAUGUGUUUUCGGUAAUUUUAGAUUUUUUAUUUUUUAUAAAACAUCAUGUUAUAUAUCUUAUUUAUAUUAUUGUUUUGGAAUCCAAUAAAUAUAUAAUAGAAUAAAAAUAUAUAAUAAAAAAAGAGUUAUUGCAUCAAGAAUGAAUCUGAACAAUUGUUUGUCUAUAUUCAAACAACCAUUUAUCUAAAUUCAUUCUAGAUGUGGUUUUUUUAGCAAUUUUAUACAUUUAUAGAUUUUUAUAAAUUUAUAAAUUCCUAUUUUUAUAUUUAAUAAAUUUAUAAAUUAUAUAUUUUUCAACAUAUUUUAUGCUUUUUUUUAUUUUUAAUUGUAUAUAUUUUUAUAAAUUUAUUUAUUUUCAUUUUUAUAUUUUUUUAAAAGGCUAAAUGCUCAAAUUAAUGCCUAACCUUUUAAGGGUAGUUAAUAUAACGGUCAAACAUUUAAAAAUAGUCAUAUAAGAGCCCAACAUUUAGAAAAAUGCUUAAAUAAAAGCUUUUCACGAACCAAAAUCCAAUAUGUAGUAAAAGAUAGUUGAAUGCUAACGUGUUUAGAAUAAAACACAUAACAGUUUAAUCUUAUAUUUCUUAAAAAGAAAAUAAAAUAGUAAAAACAUAAUUUGAAACAUGAUAUACGACAUUUGAGAAACCCUUGUUCGAGCAUUUUCAAAAAGAUAUGUCCCUUAUUUGAGCAUUUUCAAAAAUGUUUGGCCCUUAUUUGACCAUUUUGAAAGGGUUGGCCUUCGUUUGAAUACUUUUAUAAAGGUUAGGUCAUUAUAUGAUCAUUUUGAAAGGUUAGUUCCCUAUGUGAGCAAUAGAGGUGUCCAUGGGUCGGGGCCCAACCAAAAUUUUAGGCCCGUUUGCUAGGCUCGGGCCCGACCUAAAAAAAUGAGCCUAAAAUUUUGCCCAAGCCCAUUCUAGAUAAAAAUGCUAGAACUCGGGCUCAACCCGCCUGUAUUAAUUUUUUAUAUUAUUAUAUUUUUAAAAAAUAUAUAAUACAUCAAAAAUACUAAAAAUAUUAAAAUAAAAAACUUCCCAACAAAUUGAAAAUAAAUUAAAAAAUAUAUGUAUAUUUAAAUAACUCUAAGAUAGAUGCAACUUAACAAGUGAAUGCCUCUAAAAUAGUAACAAAAUUAAUAAUAAAACAAGAGUUAUACAAUAUCCAAACAAUAACAACAAAAUAAUAGAACCAUAAUAGUGAAAUGGUAGCAAAAUAAAGGAAAAAAAAACAAGAAAAUAACAACAAAACAGUAAUUUUUUUUUUGUAUAUUCGGGCUGGACUUAGGCAAAUAAAAAAGCCUUAUCUGAGGCCCAAUCUAUUUUUAAAUGGGCCUUAUUUUUUCCCAAGCCCAUUUCUCAGGCCUGUAUUUUUACCCAAACCAUCCCACUUUUUGGGUGACCCAACCCAACUCAUGGACAGGUCUAGUGAACAACCCCUAAAAGGUUGGGUCCAAUUUGAGCAUUUAGCCUUUUGAAAACAACAAUAACAUAAAAAAACGUAUAUUUUAUAAAAAUAAAAAUAUAUAAAAUUACUAAAAAUACAUUAAGUAUGAAUUUGGACAAAUGGUUGUCCAAGUUCAUUGUUGAUGUGAAUAAUGUUUUAUAUUUUUUUAUUAAUUUUUAUAUUUGUAAAGUUUCUAUUUUUUAAAAUUUCAAAAUAAUAAUAUAAAAUAUUAUAUUUUUAUUAAAAAACUAAAAACAUAUAAAAUUAAUAAAAGUGCAUCUUGAAUUUGUCUAGAUUCGGAUGAACCUGGACAAUCAUUUGUUUAUUUCAUUCUUAAUAGGGGAAAAAUAUUUUUUAAAGAUUUUUUAUUCAUAUUUUUCAUGUGUCAUAAUGAAAGGUUGCCACAUGUCAUCAUGUGACCGGUUAUCAGCGUCAUGUUAGCAUAAACUAAUAAUGUUUCAACCAAAUAAAAAAAUUAGAUACCGACCAGAUACUUAUGGACGAGUUCAAGGGACAAACUACAUAUAUAUUAGCCCAAAUAAAAACAACACUCUUGGAUACUUGUUCCAAAGUUGUAAUUUAAAUUAGGGUAACUACACUAUUAGUCAUUAAACUAUUAUCGUGUUUCUUUUUUAAUCACCAAGCUACAAAACCUUCAAUUUCGUCAUUAACUUUUUCGAUUGAUUUUGUUUUGGUCACUCUUCGUUAAACCAUGAACGAAAAUGAUGAGGUUGCUUUUUUUAAUUGGCACAAUAACAAGUUUAGUCCUUAAUACUUACACAACCUAUCAGUUUAAUCCUAAUCCUAAACCUCUACGUUUACAAAUUUUAUCAAUUUAGUCAUCAAACACAUAUUUAUCAUAAAUUAGAAUUGUAAAUUAGAUUCAAAACCUAUGAUUUCAAAUAAUACAAAAAUGUCAAUUUCAUGUUAAAAACCUUAUAAAGAGGGGAUAAAUCUCAAAACUUACAUAAACUUUAAUCAAAUGUGCAAUGGUAUACACAAUUUUGAUUUUGUGAAAUUUUAUAUGCAAGAUUUUCAUUUGAUUCAGUUUUCACAAAUCAUAACACAAUUAUCAUUAUAGAACCAUUUUACGUUUACAUAUUGCGUACAUAAAUAAUUAUAUUUUUCUAAUAUAUAAAUAAAUUGAUGUGUUUAUUUCUUUGAAUGUGUAUAGUUGAUACAAAAUUUAACAUUUCAUGCAUGCAUUUGAACCACAAUUAAAGUUUCACAUGUAUAAUUACACUAAAUCAAAAUUCAUGUGCAGUUUUAAUAUUUAUCCUUAAAAAAGUAAGAUGACAUAAGUUCAACAUUCCAGUUUAAUAUGUAAAUAAACAUCAACGUUCAAUAGGUUAAAGUCUUCUGCAAUAGAUGAAAAAGGUAGUGUCUUGUGCAAAAGAAUGGUCUUCGAGUCUUACAACUUUAAGUCAAAGACAUGGUUCAAAAAUGGCUUCAACUUUAAUUUAUACUUGUAUGGUCGACUCACUCUUUGUGCUAGGUUGAUUAUUUGUUUAUAUUUGUGGAGUUAUACCUCAUAUUUUUCCGUUUUUCUUCUCCGUCAAACUCUGUUUUUAGUUUCCCACUUAAACUUUGAUUAGUGUAGGUUAUUUUAAUAGUAGUUUCCCACUUCAAAUCUAAUUAGUGUAGGUUAUUUUAAUCUUAUUUAACCUAUAGAUUUAGCCUAUAAAUAGACCAUUUUUCACCCCAGAAAAAUAACCUAUAACACAUUUAAGUACUAGUUUUUCAAGUUUUCAAACAAUUUUUGUGUUUAUAUUUUGAAAGUUCUUCUUUAGGAUUUUGGGGUUUAAUUUUAUCUCCAUCUUUUGUACUGUUCAUUUUUGUCAUUUUAGUGAAAUUAUCUUUGCUUGUGACUUUUUAUCCUUUCGAAUGAGUUUUUUAAUGUAAAAUAUUUGUGUUUGAUAUUUUCAAAUUUAUUUGUUAUUUUACUUAUUCAUUGCUUAACCAGGUUUAUCCUAAAAAACUGAUAUCAGAGCUAGUUUGAUUUUUGCAAUCAACCCAUUCAAAUAUGGUAGCAUCAAGGUUUGAUGUUUAAUAGUUUGAUGGCAUCGCAAAAUUCAAUCUAUGGCAAGGUCGGAUGAUGACAAUUCUGAUUCAGAAUGAUUCUGAGUAGGUCCUUACAGAGAAGAAGCCUACAAACAUGGAUAAAUUAGAAUGAGAUAGGUUAGAUAAAAAAGCUCUAUCCACAGUUCAAUUAUGUCUAACAAAUAAUACGUUGCAGGAGGUUUUGAUGGAGAAAACGAAAUUCACCUGGUGGAAAGGGUUAGAAACCCUCUACGUAACAAAGUCUUUGGCUAACCAGUUGGUAUUAAAACGUCGUCUAUAUACAUUCUACAUGGACAAAAGUGAGCACCUUAGAGGUCAGAUUAGUCAAUUUAUCACUCUUUUGAAUGGUAUAAAAAAUGUUGAGGUUUAGAUUAAUGAUGAAGAUCAAACUAUGUUAUUAUUGUGCUAUUUACCCUCUUCAUACAAGUCUUUCAGAGAGACAUUGAUUUAUGACGGAGAUAAUCUAUCAUUCGAGGAUAUGAAGGGUCACCUAUUAAGAAAAGAAAAACUCGACAAUGAGUUUGGUUCUGAUAGCAAGCCAAUACGCAAGCCUCAAUUUUGGUAGCAUCAAAGAAGCGAGACAAAAGAUGUCACUAUUGUAAGAAGUUAGGUCAUGUUAAGGCAAAUUGUUACAAACUGCGAAAUAAAAUACUACUGAGAGCAACGAGGAAGAUUUAGUUGGUACUAAUUUGGCCAAUGACAAGGGUGAUGAUUUCUUGUUGGUUUCAACAAGUGAAAGCUUCAAGCUUACAUCCGAGUGGAUCCUAGAAUCGAUGUGUUCUUUUCACAUGUGUCUUAAUAGGGAUUGGUUCUCCACACACAGUUCAAUUGAAGGUGAAGUUGUACGCAUGGGGAAUGGUUCACCCAAUAAGGUAACUAGUAUUGGUACUAUUCAUAUCAAGAUGCAUGAAGAGACAAUUAGAACACUAUCAGAUGUCAAGCAUGUGCCUGACUUAAAGAAAAAUCUCAUCUCCUUGGGAAUUUUGGACUCGAAGGGUUGUAAAAUUAACAUCGAUUCAAGCGACAUUAAAGUAUCCUGUAGGGCUCUUGUUUUGAUGAAAGAUAAAAAGAUUGACAGACUUUAUGUUCUGGAAUGGUCAAUGUACGGUGACUGGUGAAACAGAACAUCCCUCAUCUGUUAAGGAGUCGAAGAUGACUCGUUUGAAGUGAAAACAACUUGGUCAUAGGAGGGAAAAAGGUAUGAUUGUUUCAUGUAAGAUAUGUUCUUUUUUGGAUGUAUGUUUUGACAAGAUAUGGCACUGCGUUCAUGGAAAUCAGACUUAAGUCAGAUUUGAUUUGACAGUGCACAAGUCGAAGACUAGAAGACUUCCAGCUUCGACUCACCUAAUAUCUUGCAUAGUUUGAGAUAAGCUCGUGGCGGGCUUUGACAGAGAAGGCGUUGUGGAAAUACGAGUACAGGUGGAGAUUUGUGGAGUUAUGCCUCGUAUUUUUUUACUUUUCUUCUCAUAUUAAACUUUGUUUUUAGUUUCUCACUUAAACUCUUAUUAGUGUAGGUUAUAUUAAUAUUAGUUUCCCACUUAAACUUUGAUUAAUGUAGGUUAUUUUAAUUUAUUUAACCUAAGAAUUUAGCAUACAAAUAUGCCCAUUUCCACCCUAGAAAAAUAAGCCAUAACACAUUUAGGUAUUAGCUUUUCAAACUUUCAGAGAAUUUUGUGUUUACAUUUUUAGGGUUCUUUUUUCAAGUUUCAAGGUUUAAUUUUAUCUUCAUCUUUUGUACUCUUCGUUUUUUCCAUUUUAGUAAAUUUAUCUUUGGAUUUUUAUCCUAUUCGAAGGGAAUUUCCAUGUAAAAUAUGUGUGUUUGAUCUUUUCAAUUUUCUUUGUUAUUUUACUUGUUCGUUGCUUAACCGAGUUUAUCCUCAACAAUAUUAAAUUAUAGAGUAAAAAUUUAAAAAUUAAAAUAUAUUCUAAGAAAUUUUUUCGGAACCGGAUCAGUGAUCAAACUAGUCAACCCACUUGUUCACAUGGUUCAAUUGAAUAAAUCAUUUAAAAAAGAAAAAUAUAUUAAAAAAAUAAUUCAAUCAAAUUUUUAGCUUGGUUCAACUGGUUUAUACUGUUUGCAAGUCAACUGGCUUUAUGCCUCUCUCUAAAUCGAUGCCUUGACCGGUUCCGUUCAAGCAACCGUGACUCUUAAUUCUCUACACUUUGUAUAUUUGGAAUUUAGUCCUCCUCCUUUUAUUUUUAAGAGUUUAAUCUCUCUACUUAUUAAAUUUAUAAAUCUACUUUCAAAUUAUAUAUAAUCACAUAACAUUUUAAUUGAAAAGUUAACAAUAUUAACUAUUUGAAUUAAUUAAUUACAUUAUAAAAAUAUUAAAGUAAAUAAUAACAUUAUAAAAAUAUAGAGACCAAAUUACAUUAGAAAAAGUAUUAAAUUUCAAAUUUAAGCAUACUAUGACCAAAAUUGAAAAAAAACCCACCAAAAUUGAAAAAAAAAACCACUUUUAUAAAAAUGUAAAAAAAAAAGUCUUAAAGGUGUAAAAAACCUUCAAACUUGAAAAAAAAAUUAAGCCCUUACUCUUUUUUUUGGCACUCAAUUGAGUAUUCAAACUUUCAAAAUGUAUCAAAAAGACCCUCAAACUUUAAAAAAAAACAAUUAAGCCCUUACUCUUUUUUUUUGGCACUAAAUUGCCAAAAUGCAUAAAAAAGAAUCUUUGACCAUAAUUUUUUUAGUUAAAGUUAUCCUGUGUCACAACCAGUGCGUCACAUGUGACAAAAAAUUAUAAAAAAUAAAAAUAAAUAAAGUUAUAAAAUUAUUAAAAUUUAAUAAUAAAUAUAGAAAUAUUUAAAAUUUACUAAAAUUAAAAAUAUAUAUAUAAAUGGUAAAAAAAUAUAAAAUUUUAUAAAAAUCAUAAAAAAUUAUAAAAUACAUCAAAAAGACCCUUUAACCAUUAACUUCAACCGUUGACCGUUAAAGUUAACAAUCUCCAAUUUUUUUCAGUUAAAGUCAUCAUGUGUUGCAACACAACGUGACAUGUGGCGAAAAAUGAUAAAAAUAAAAAUUAAUAAAAGUUAUAAAUAAAUUAUAAAAUUUUUUGGUAUGAUAAUUUUUAUAAUUAUUUUACAAAUUUUAUAUUUCUUUACAUUUUUUUAUCAUUUUCUUACGACUCUAUAAAAUUUUAUAUAUUUCUAUAUAUUUUUAAUAUUUUUUAUAAUUAUUUUUCUAAUUUUAAAUAAAAAUUAAAUAUUUCUUAUAUUUUUAUUAAAUUUUAAUAAUUUUUAGAACUUUUAUUAAUUUUUAUUUUUUUAUUAUUUUUUGCCUCAUGUCACGCUGUGGUUGUGAUACGUGGUGACUUUAACUGAAAAAAAUUAGGGGCGGUCAAAAGGGCUUUUUGAUACACUUUGGCAAUUAAGUGCAAAAAAAAGCUUAAUUUUUUUAUUUUUUUUAAGUUUAAGUGCUUUUUUUAUGCAUUUUGAAAGUUUAUGUACCUAAUUGAGUGGAAAAAAAAAGGAGCUUAAUUGUUUUUUUUUAAUUUGAGGGUUUUUUACAAUCUAAAGCAUAAAAAAAAGCAUUAUGGGUGUGUGCUAGGUGUCAGCACGAUGAAGAUCUUUUGGACCUUACUUUAAUAGAUAGGUAUAGGUAAUAAACCUUGCUUACUAAAAACGGGUAAAAAUAAAUGAAGGCCAUUGUAUCAAGAGUGAUGUAAGCACGCCCAGGUAAGCAUCUUCAAGAAGUUAUUUGGACAUUGUUAGCUCAAUUUUGGAGUGACAUUGAGCUCUAUGACAAAGAAGAAGUCCAAGCCAAUUUGUUAAAGGCUCCUUGCACCUUAGUGCAAGCUGAUCUCAGCUCGUCUCUAGCUCCUCGAACUCAACUCAGCUCCAAUCAGCUCACUUGAUCUUAUUUCAGCUCAUAUUAGCUCAAUUCAGUUUCAUUUCAGCUCAUUUUUUUAAUCAUUAAAUAAAUUAAAUGUUUAUUUUAUUUUAUUUUAUUUAUUACAACUUAUAGCCGAAUAUCCUAGCUCAAAUCAGCUCAUUAAAAUUGUUUUCACUUAUUUGAGUUAGCUGAAUUUAAUGUGUUAGCUAGUCUAAAAUUAAUUGUGUCCCAUUUAGUUUAAUUUGUUAUUUAAGUUGUCUAGUUGUUGUUUUAAUUAUGUUCAGCUGAAUAUGCAUUUGAUUUAAUGUGUUCAUGAAUUUUGUAGGUGCAGCCGAAUUUGAAAGAGCAUUUAAAGUUAGGUGCAUGCACGGCUUGGUUCAAUGUUUGGAAAGAUUCAUGUACGUCCAGGUUCAAGGCCAAGGAGUCAUGAAUGACUUGUUACAUGCAUUUUGAACUGAUUGUUGGCUUCCCUAAACACCCAUUCGGCCAAGGAGUAGCUACCAAUUAAUUCCAAAGUUGACUGAUUAGCUCCCAAGGCAGCCUUGAACAUGUUUCCACCUUGUUUUGACCAAUCAGCUUCUAUACAUGCAUGAAUAGAUGAAUUCAAGAACAUCCAAGGGGGAAUUAACACAUAAAUUCAACCCAUGAAAUUAACAACAUGCAUGCACAAUGGGGAGGACUAAUUUACAAGAUACAUGCUAUUGUUCAUAAACCUACAUUCCAUUAAAGUGACUAUUUAUGAGAAUAAAUGUUCCAUGCAAGUGCAUGAAUGACCCAAUGAGAUGAAUGAAACUUUUGGUGCUCAUACAAGGCACUUGAAGCUUUCUUCUAUGCUAAAAAUUCAUGCACAGGAAAGGGAAAGAAGAAUCUGACUAUUGAAGCUCCAUUCAACCGAAUGUGGACUUAGUCUUUUAAUGAUUUGUUCUAGAAUAUUCAAGUGCAUUCAUAGUCGAAUUACUUAGCCUUUAAGCUAGUUAUUUUUUCUAUUCGGUUAUCAUAUGUUAGGCUAUAAAUACUUAGCAUUUUUUAAUUGUAAGAGACUUUUGCCAACUUAUUGAAUGAACAUUUGUUCUUGUGAGGUUAAAUUCCUCUCCAAUUUCGUACAAGUCUCGAGUGACUUAUCUAGCUCGCUAGUAGCGUCAACCCAAACUUGUUUCUGAACUUAUCACCAAGCAUUGGUGUGGCGUUCAACUAUCUCUCUACCAUCUAUCUUUAUCACCUUAAACAAUAUAGGAACCGGGGUGACACUCUUUAAUGUUGAAUUGCUCCUGAAGUUUAAGUUCGUUUAUCCAUUUCCAUUAUCCUUCUUUGUUUAUCCUAUUAUCUUAAAACCAAGCUAUCCACAUAUCUUCUAACUUUGUCUCUAUCUAGCCAAACCUACUAUCUUAUACCUAGCCACUUUGAACCCACUUCAUUAAUAACCAUCAUCUUAAGGCGUUACAAACAAACCGAUAAUUUUGUGAACGACUCUUCUCAUCGAUGAUCAAGCAACAACGUGAAUUCAACUCCAUCUUCCCGAGCCAAAUCACAUCAAAGAGUUAGAUUGCAUUUUAUCCAUUUUACUCGAAAAAAUGAGUUAAUUAGUCCUUAGAUGUUAGAUAAAAGAGCAAAUUAGUCAUUUCUAUUAAAAAUUUUAUCAAUUUUUACUAUUAAAAAUUGACAUUGCUAAUGAAAUAAAUCGAUAGUUACACAUGGCAUGCCACAUAUACGUCAUUUUGAAAUAUAAGACUAGUUUUUAACAGUAUAAAUUGAUAAUCAAUUUUAAGCUCUACUACCCUAGCACGCUUUUGUCUGCCCUCUUGGCACGAUUUUUUCUAGGUUUUUCUUUGUUAUUUUGUUUCGUUCUCUUAUUUUGGUUGCGAUAGUUGAUGCAGAUUUAUUGGAGUUAUUAGCAAAAGUUAUCAAGGUAUAGAUUGAAUUCGAAUCAAUGGAAACGGAGUUUGUUGGAUCAUCCCUUAAUGAAGAGGAAAAAGCAGUUUUACAAUUACAAAUAGAUCCAGGUUCGAGAAGGGAAUAGGAGGAUUUAUGCUUGGUGGGUUGUUUUUUAACAGCCAUUAACAUACAUUUUCCAGUAAUGAAGAGCACCAUGGCUAAUAUAUGGCAUCCCAUUCGAGGGGUUCAAAUUUGUAAUCUGGGGGAGAAAAGGUAUUUAUUCUAAUUUUAUCAUAUCAUGGAUAUGAAAAGGGUUUUAAAGUGAUCACCGUGAUCUUUUAAUAAUCAUUUAUUGAUUUUACACAAGUUGCAAUGGGGGAGGAUCCAUUAACAGUCCCUUUAAUUUCUACACCAUUUUGGGUACAAGUUUAUGACAUUCCCAUAGGAUUUUAUUUUGAAAAUUUAGCUGUGCAAUUAGGAAAUUUCAUGGAUAUUUUAUGGAAUACGAGUGUUCAAGUUUGGGAAAGGAAAAUAGAAAUUUUGAGGAUACGUGUUUAAGUUGAUGUUCGAAGGCCUCCUAAAAUAAAGAAACAAGUCAUGGUUCGGUGGUAAAUGUUCUUAUGUCAGAUUUAAAUAUGAAAUAUUAAUUUUAUUCUAUUUUUAUUGUGGCAAGUUAGGGCAUAGUGAUUCAUUUUGUAAAGCAAAUAUGAUGUUAGGGGUGGAAGUUACUGAGAUGGGUUGGGACCUAACUCUAUGUGCCCAAUCAAAAAGAGCUUAAGCAAUGAAUAGUGUUUGACUAAGAGGGGAAGAGAGUGUGUUUGGUAGGGUAAAUGGUGGAGGACAAAAUCAAGAAUUUACAGUGGGGGGAUCGCUAAAGAAGAUGAAAGCAUAAAGGCGAUUGACCAUAUACUGGGUUUAAGUUUAGAAGGAAUAAUGCCAUCUCCACAGCUUGGGGGGAAACUUUGUAUCUAGUCAAAUCCAAAACUUUAUGGAUCAUGACUAAGAAGAUACUUUGUUAAUGGGGGAAUAAGGCAAAAAAAGGGCUAGAUGAGUGAUUGAAGAGACUAACACUAUGGCAAAUAGAAAUAGAAGGAUACCGAAAAUCAACCAGUUAUUAUCGGUAGCUGCCAAAAGGCAAGCCGACCAGACGCAAUAAAAAUAUUGACCUGGAAUGUCUGUGGACUGGGGAAUCCACUGACAGUUCGAAGACUUUUGCAUACGCUGAGGUUUCAAAGUCCCCAUAUAGUCUUCUUUAUGGAGACAAUUAAAUAGUAGUCAGAUGGAGAAAGUUCAACGUAGUUGUGGUUUUCAUUAUGGAGUGGAAGUGGAUGCGGUUGGUUCCAAAGGAGGAUUAUGUUUAGCAUAGCGAGGGGCGGUUGAUAUAAAGCUUCAAAGUUAUUCAAUUUGACAUAUUGAGGUGUUAAUUGAAGAUACAGAUGAUGGGAAAAAUAGAGAUUUACAGGGUUCUAUAGCUCUCCUUACACACAUGAUAGGGAUGAAUCAUGGCAUCUUUUGAGACGUUUACGAAAUAAUGGUGAUUACCCUUGGCUGGUUUGUGGGGACUUUAAUGAGAUUCUAUAUGGGUUUGAAGAGAAAGGUGGAUUAUCUAGAGAUGAGAGAAGGACAGAAGCUUUUUGAAAAGUGUUAGAAGACUGUAACUUGAUUGAUGUAGGAUACUCAGGAAGAUGGUUUACUUGGGAGAGGGAUAACUUGCUAGAAACGAAUAUUCAGGAGAGAUUAGAUAGGGGUGUAGUGACUAAAGAAUGGAUAUCUUUGUUUCCUGAAUUGUCAAUUCAACACCUUACUCAUUCCUUUUCAGAUCAUUGCCUUUUACUCAUCUCUACAUAUAGGAGAAAGAGAAGACAGAUUGCUAAGAAUUUUAAGUUUGAAGCUUGGUGGAUUUUGGAAUAUACGUUUUUAGAGGAGGUCUGAAGAAUUUGGGAAAAUUCAAAUGGAGAUCUUUUACACAAGUUGGAGAAUGAGGAAAGAUUUAGAAGGAUGGACAAAGUAGAUUAGCAGAAGUAGAAAGUUUAAAAAGGAGGUGUUCACCUCCAAAUUGUCAACUUUAUUGGAAGCUGAUAGAAACGACGAAAAUCUGGCAGAUAUAAUAGAUACUAAAAUUCUAUUGAAUUUUGAAAUUGAGAAAGAUGAAUGUUACUGGGAACAGAGGGCUCGAAUUAAUUGGUUGAAACUUGGAGACAGAAAUACUGCAUUUUUCAUAAACAAGCAACUCAAAGGAAAAUGAGAAAUCCGAUUCAGAAAAUGCAAUUUGAAGAUGACAAGAUAACAGAAAAAGAUAAGGACAUGGGGGAAAUCGCGAGAGAUUAUUUUCAGAAAUUAUUCUCGACAGUUGCGCAAGGAAAUUUGGAUCAAAUUCUAUCUAGCAUUGAUUGAUGUGUUUCCAAAUAAGACAAUCGAAUAUUAACAUCAAGGUAUACAAAGGACGAGAUAUGGGAAGCUUUAUCAGAAUUAGGUCCCACAAAAGCACCAGGAGAUGAUGGAUUUCCAGCCUUAUUUUAUCAAAAGUGUUGGCCCAUUAUUGGUGAGGAUGUUUUAGAAUUUUGCCUUCAGAAACUGAACAGAGAUAUGGACUUAGGCUUCAUCAAUAAAACAAACAUUGUGCUCAUACCAAAAAUUUCUAGCCCUACCAGUAUUAUUCAAUUUCGACCUACAAGUCUAUGCAAUGUGCUGUAUAAAUUGAUAGGUAAGAUGAUUGCCAAUCGGCUUCGGGUAAUGGUUGAAAAAUGUAUUGAUUUAGCACAAAGUGCUUUUGUACCAGGGAGGUUGAUUUUUGACAAUGUAUUGCUUUCAUACGAAAUACUGCAUAUCUUAAAGCAAAAGAAAUUGGGAAUAAAAGGUCUAAUGGCGAUAAAGUUAGAUAUGAGCAAGGCAUAUGACAGAGUUGAAUGGAAUUUUGUGAAAGAGAUUAUGAAGAAAAUGAGGUUUGAUGCAGGAUAGGUCGAGUCUCUAAUGAAAAGUGUGUCCAUAGUUUCGUAUUUUGUUGUUCUUAAUGGAAAUACAGGGGAAACUUUUUAUCCUUCUAGAGGUUUAUGGCAAGAAGAUCCUUUAAGUCCAUUUUUGUUUCUAUUUUGUGGGAAAGGUCUUUCUAGCCUGAUGAGGAUAGUAAGGAAAAUUCUUAAAUGAGUGAAAGCAAGUCGAAGUGGGCCAUCUAUUUCUCACUUACUCUUUGCGAACGAUUGCAUUCUGUUUACAUAAGCUACUGAAGGAGGAGCGCAAUCUCUCAAAUUGAUUUUAAAAGAAUAUGAAAUAUGCUUAGGACAGUGUGUUAAUUAUGAAAAUUUAACGGUGUUCUUCAGUUCAAAUACACAAGAUGAGGUCAAAACAUCAGUCUCAAGCAUCCUUGGUGUAUGAAGAUCAACAGAUCCAGAAUGGUAUUUAGGGCUUCCAAAUUUGGUGGGAAGGAAGAAAAGAUCGUCUUUCCAAGCUUUAAAAGAUAGAUUCAAACAAAGGAUCCACAAUUGGAGUAUAAGACAUCUUUCACAAUGAGGAAAAGAAAUUUUCAUUAAAGCCAUUCUACAGUCUAUCCCUACCUACACUAUGGCUCGUUUUUUACUCCCUAAAUCCUUGUGUAUCGAGUUGAAGAGAAUUAUAGCUAAAUUCUAGUGGCAAAGAGGUUGAAAUAAAAAAGGAAUUCCUUAGUGUGUUUGGAAGGAAUUAUGUUCGUUAAAAGAAGAUGGUGGACUUGGUUUUUGUGAUAUUGCAAAAUUUAAUAUAGCGUUGUUAGCAAAACAAGGUUAGCGUCUUGUUAAUUUUCCAGAUUCAUUAUUAGCGUGUGUCUUGAAAGUAAAAUAUGUCCCAACUCAGAUUUUUAUAAAGCUCGGUUAGGGAAUUUACCUUCGCUUACUUGGAGAAGCGUUUGGGCAGUAAGAGGUCUCUUGGAGAAAGGCUUAUGCUGAAGGGUUGGAACAGGUGAUAAAAUUUCUGUAUUGGGAUAUUUGUGGAUAUUAGGAAACGAAACAGACUGUUUGCAACAUCAUGGAAAUCAAGAAAACAUCAAGUUAGUGUCAGAUUUAAUAGAAAUCAAUAAUAGAACUUGGAACACAGAUGUUGUAAUGAUUACCUUUCAACUGGAAAUUGAGAGGAAAAUUUUGCAGAUCCCACUGGCAGAGUUAGCACACGAGGACUUUCAAGUUUGGAGGGGGAGUUUUCUAGUGAGUUCUCGGUAAUAAGUUUCUAUAAACUAUUACAAGAGACUAACAAGGAUCCUAAUAAUCUUAAUUUACAGACUGAGACUAAUAACUUUUACAAAAAAUUGUGGAAGCUAUACAUCCCUUCAAAAGUUACAUUAACAUUAUGGAGAAUAUCUUGGAAUUUCAUCCCUUCAUUAGUCAAUCUCAAGCAGAAGAAAGCAGUAGAUAAUGCUCUUUGCCCUCGAUGCCAACAAAAUGAGGAAAACAAUUAUCAUAUUUUUCAGUAGUGUCCUAUGACAAGAGAGGUUUGGAAUCAUUUAAAGCUCUCAUGGGUACUUAAUCAUAAUUACCAGAAUGUGUGGGAAUGGCUUACCUGAGUUUUUAAUUAGGGAACGACUGAACAGAUUCACUAUUUUUGCUGCGGACUUUGGCUAGUCUGGUUCAACAGGAAUCGGUUAAUAUAUGAUAAAAUAAAUGUGCCAGGGAGGGACAUUGCGAAGCAAACUUACAGUUAUAUUUAUGAGUUGCACGGGAUCAAAGAGAAGCGACUUAUUGUUCAGUCUAAUGGAGAUGCUACACAGGAAAGAAGAAAAUCAGAGGUCACAAUUUAUUUUGACGCAGCUUUUGACCAAUAAGCCUUCAGAUCGGCCUUAGGACUAAUAGUACGAGACGCGGAAAGAAGAAUUCUAGCAUUAAAGACGACCAUCCAUUUUGAAAUCGCAAAUCCAUUUGUGGUAGAGGCGUAUACAGGGUUACAAGCAGUCAAGUUAAGGUUAUUCAUGGGUCUUAAUAAACUGGAAUUUUUGGGAGAUUCAAAGACUGUAAUUAAAAAAUGCCAGAACACAGAGAUAGACAAAUCGAACAUCGGUGUGAUCAUCAGAGAUAUUCAGCGUAAGAAAGGUAGAUUUCAAGAGAUAAAGUUUCAUUUCAUACCCAAAACAGAAAAUUUCUACGCUCAUACUUUGGCGAAAGAGGCGCUAAAGAGAGGAGAUAACCAUUACCUGGUAGGAGGACUUCCAAAAUUUGCUCGCCAAGUAUCGGAAGAAUGGAGGCGUAGAGAAUCGGAUUGAAAGAAAAUGGAGAUGAAUGACCGUUUGGAAGAGGUAAUAGGAAAAAUUAAUUGCUGCCCUUGGAAACUGUUACCGUCACAAUGUUGGAGAGGGCAUGAAAAGACGACACAUUGAAGAUCCAGCUGUGGAUUUGACUGGACAAGACUUAUUAGGUUUCUUGUUUUGUUUUUUUAAUUUUUCAGAUUCAUGGACCAUUUAAUUUUAUUAGGCCGGCUUUGCUAUAUGUGCAAGCUUUGUA
Molecule: long non-coding RNA, 17636 nt
Filed under: Gossypium barbadense (sea-island cotton)
Lineage: Eukaryota; Viridiplantae; Streptophyta; Magnoliopsida; Malvales; Malvaceae
Description: long non-coding RNA (GBAR_LNC002091)
Rfam family: MIR7502 microRNA precursor family (bases 11928-12072)
Source: RNAcentral